RNAcentral lists this long non-coding RNA (1541 nucleotides) under Homo sapiens (human). RNAcentral's name for it is "uncharacterized LOC102723968 (LOC102723968)". The record is from RNAcentral. Lineage: Eukaryota; Metazoa; Chordata; Mammalia; Primates; Hominidae.
GAUGUUGGUCCUAAGAGCCAGGGGUGAAGAGGGGCUGGCUCUCUGUCCCCUCGUCGCGGGGGUUGCUUCCCCCCCUGCGAUGGAGGUCCCAAGAGCCAAGGGGGGAAGAGGGGCUGGCUCUCAGUCCCUGCCUCGCGGGGGUGCCUCCCGCCCUGGGAUGGGGAUCCAAAGAGCCAGGGGGGUAAAAAGGGCUGGCUCUCAGUCCCCGCCUCACAGAGGGUGCCUCCCCCCCCCGCGAUGGGAGUCCCAAGAAUCAGGGGGCGAAGAGAGGCUGGCUCUCAGCCACCACAAAAUGGGGGGCCUUUAUGUUCAGGUUUUGCCCAAGAGUCAGCUCAUUUGCUUCUUGUACUAGCAGGGGAGUUGCUGCCAAGGCCCUCAAACAGGGGGGCCAUCCUUUAGAAACCCUGUCUAGUUGUUCAGAGACAUAGGCCACCGGCCUCAUCCAAGGCCCCACAGUUUGGGUUAAAAGUCCACCUGCCAUCUUUUCUCUCUCUGACGCAUACAAUGGAAAAGGUUUUGUCAGAUCGGGUAACCCCAGGGCUGAAGCUGCCAGAAGUUUUUCCUUUAACUCAUGAAAGACUUGCUGUUGUUAGGAUCCCCAUUCCAAAGGUUCCCGGUCCCCGCCCCCUUUGUGACCUCAUACAAAGGCUUGGCUUAUAUUGCAAAGUUUGGGAUCCACAGUCUACAAAACCCCACAGCUCCUGAGAAUUCUCUCGCCUGCCUUUGGCCCUUAGGCUCUGGUAGAUUGCAAAUAACAUGCUUUCUUUCUGUUCCCGGGUGGCUUCGGACCCCUGUCGGAUCGGAAAUCCCAAGGAGGCGUCGGACCCCGUCCGAUAGUAAAUCCCAAGUAAGGUACCUGCCGUCGGCAGAUUUGAGCUUUCUGCCUGGACACCUAAUACCCACAGUCCUCCAGUCAAUCCCAAUUAAGGUACCCGCCGUCGGCAGAUUUGAGCUUUCUUCUUGGACACCUAAUACCCACAGUCCUCCAGGCUCUGGUAGAUUGCAAAUGACCUGCUUACUUUCUGUUCCCGGGCUGCGUUCUGACACCUGUUGGACAGUAAAUCCCAAGUAAGGUACCUGCCUUCGGCAGAUUUGAGCUUUCUUCUUGGACACCUAUACCCACAGUCCUCCAGGAGGGUCCUAAGGAUAACUUCAGGAAGUGGGUAUUAAUUCUCACUGUAUAAGUGAAGACAUUAAGCACCAGAGUUUAAGUAGCUUGAUCCACUGAAAGAGAUUCAACUGUGUGGAACCUAUGCCGCGGAGAAUUGCUUUCUGCCAUUGUUAUUGUCCAGCAGUUGCCGAAUAGCUCUGACCUGAGCAAAGCAGUGAAACGCGGUGCUGUUGAGUGGGUUGCCACUGCACCUUUUUCAACUACUCUAGUCUUGUGGAGAAAACACCCCUUCUAAAUUUUUUCUUCAUUGAAUACUCUCCCUCAGCUCCAGGGUACCAUAUAGAGUUUUCUUGUAUUUUAGAGUUACUGUUUUAUCAAAGUGUACCAGUCUUUUGUAUUACAUUUCUCCUGUCUAAAUCAAAAAAAAAAA